UUGUGAGUCUUUUGGCUUUGGGCUUGUCUUGUUAGGAUUUUAAUUUUCUUCCUUCAUUUUUAUUUUCCAUGACUGCUACUAUGAGUCUUUUGGUUCGAGUCUUUUAGUUUUGGGCUUGUCUUGUGAGGAUUUUGCUUUUCUACUUUCAUCUUUAUUUUCCAUGACUGCUGCUCUGCUACUAUAUCAUUACUCUCGCCCUUUAUAAAUAAAAUAGGCAUACAAUCUUUUCUAAAACGUGUUUCUCCUUUGCGUUAAGAGUUACAGUCUGCACUUUCAGGGAGUUUAUAUUGUCUGAGUUUUGUGUUACAGUUUGCACUUUCAGGGAGUUUAUAUUGAGUUUAUAUUGUCCGAGUUUUGUGUUGAUUUUCCACGUUAUAGAAUUUACCUCUCACAGCCGUUUUUUAUGUAGGUGAGGGAGGCAUCAUUUUUGUUCAAAGCAUUACAUUACUGUUUGUGAUAAGAUUAUUUAUAAUGUGUGUUGUCUGCGUUUUCUGUUGAUUUUUUCUUGUGAAGCAGGAAAUGGCGAUUGAGCUGGUUAUGGAGUUUACCCUUGCUGUUUUUUGUUAUGUUGUUUACCUCUGCUCUAACAGCUCGAUCGGUUUUGAUGUAAAUGGAUGCCGUAUGUUUGUUCAAAGCAUAACAUUACCCUUUCUUUUUUUUUAAGGUUUCAUUACAUUACUUUUUGUUUUCUAGGGUUUGGCCAAUUUAUGGUUAAACGUAUUUUUUUUUUUUAUUGCAGGGUGCACUCCAUAUGGAAUGGAGAACCAGAUACUUCUAACAAUUUAUGAUUUUAUAUUAUAAAUUGUCUUUUAUAGUUUGUUGUCUUAUUAUAGAAUAUUAUAUUUGAAAGUUGUUUUGAGGGUAGGAUAGGAGAAAUUGAUUUGACUAAAUUUAGUGUUUUAACUUUUAAAUAUUUAAUAAAUUUAUAUUUUACUAUUACAAGUGAUAUUUAAUUAUGAGUUUUAUUUAUGAAAAUUAAAAAUAAUUUAAAAUCUAUGUUUUAUUUUUUAUUAAGUAAUAAUAAAUUUUAAUUUUAGUUAGAUGGCUAUAUGUAUACAAAUUUAAUAUGAAUCAAGUUUUGAGAUAAUGUUAUAUGAUAUAAAGACAUUAUAAAGAAACAUAAAGAAAAUGGAGAUAGAAGAUUGUUUGAGGCCGAAUAAAUGAUGAAGAGAUGGAACCAAGAUAUAAAAAGAUUUCAAAAAUAUGGAAGCAAAGAGAAUUGAAGAAGAUGAGAAUUUUUAAAUCUUCUAUAAACAUUUUUUUUAAUUUCUUUCAUAAUGUCUAUAUAUUAUGUAAUAUUUUUCUUGAAAUUUUGAUUAUAUUGAUUUUGUAUACAUUAUGGUUAUCUAACAAAAAUUUAAUAUUUUUUGUUACUAAUAAUUUUUAUUUAUUUGUUUUUUAAGUUGAUAAAUUAUGAUCAAUAUUUUCAUCAGUUUUUUCAUAGUAAAUUACAUGCUAAAAUACCAUUUGUUAUAGUUGAUAAUUUACAUUUGAUAUUAAUAUUCUUUUAAUUAGCUAUCAUGAUUAAAAGAAAAAUACAAUAUAAAUGAAAUACUACAAAAUGUGUUAGAAUUAUUGUAUUAAUAUAAUAAUUCAAUUGUCUAAUGUAAUUUUUAAAUAUAUUUAUUGAAUAAAAAAUUGUUUCUUAGUUUGAAGUGUCUUUAUGUAAACUUGAUAUUAUGUUGGUGCUUCUUAGUUUGAAUUGGCAUCAUAGAAACUUCAUAUUAUGUUGGAAUUUAAAAAAGCAUAUAAUUAAAGAUCAAGUAUGUAUGUUUUCUACACUAUAAUUAUUUUUUUAGAAGAUUAUAUAUUUGUACAUGAAAAUUUUAUCCAUCAGCUUAAAAUGCCCCUAUGGAAAUUUCGUAUUAUGUUGGUGCCCCUAUGGAAACUUCGUAUUAUGUAUUAUAAGAUUAUGCAUUUCUAAGUAGUCAUUUUUUUUUAUGAAAUUACAGGAGUUAUUAUAGAAAUAGUUUAACCUUUAGCUUGGAUUGUCUCUAUGGAAGUUUGGAAUUAUGUUGGUGCUUCAUGUUGAAUCUCAAAAGAGCAUAUUAUUGUAGAUCAGGGCUUAUUACAAAAAGUUUAUCCUUUUGCUUGAACGACCUCUAUGGAAGAUUGGAAUGCUGUUGGUGCUUUAUGUUAAAGCUAAAAAUAAAAAUAAAAAUCUUUGUAUGAUCUUGAAGGAGACGUUUAACCCUUCAUUUGAAGUGCCUCCAUGAAAACAUGGCAUUAUGUUAGUACUUUUUAGCUUGAAGUGGCUCUAUAGAAACUUCAUAUUUUGUUGGAGCUCAAAGGAACAUAUCUUGAUGCUUUGAGAGCUUUUUUGGUUGUUGACGAAUGUGUCAAUAAUAUUUAUCAUUUUUUUUAAA
This is a long non-coding RNA of Cryptomeria japonica (Japanese cedar), 2366 nucleotides long. RefSeq lists it as uncharacterized. The record is from RefSeq and is a predicted model, not a curated record. The transcript is spliced from 2 exons. Lineage: Eukaryota; Viridiplantae; Streptophyta; Pinopsida; Cupressales; Cupressaceae.